UUUUAUAGUGAUUUUAUAAAAACAGAACAGGGGAUCUAGAAGUCAUUUUGACUCUGUCCCACAUUUCUUCAAUUAUCUCAUUAUCGGAAAUUCUUUUGCUUUUAUAGUUUCUUUUAUAAGAAACUAGACUCAUCAAGAUUUAAUUACAUAAUUUAUUCAGCUUCUAACUCAACUCCCACAAUUUAUAGUGAUUUUUCCAAAAUCACUUUACUGCUGCUGUCCUAAAGAGAUUAUUGCCAAUUCACUCUUUCACACAUUCUUUGUAUACAUAUUAUUUAAUUAUUUAUCACCCUAGAUAUUAUUAGCUAAAUAGAUCAAUUGUACAUAUAUACCGCCAAGACCGUACCUAAUAAUUUUACUUAUACAUAACAUUACUCAAAUUCUUCGAAAUCAUACUAACAAAAAUAUCAUGU
Molecule: long non-coding RNA, 413 nt
Filed under: Gossypium barbadense (sea-island cotton)
Lineage: Eukaryota; Viridiplantae; Streptophyta; Magnoliopsida; Malvales; Malvaceae
Description: long non-coding RNA (GBAR_LNC000800)
Source: RNAcentral